GUUACCUACGGGACGCAGCAGUGGGGGAUAUUGCACAAUGUGGGGAACCCUGAUGCAGCGACGCCGCGUGGGUGAAGGAGCGUUUCGGCGCGUAAAGCCCUAUCGGCAGGGAAGAAGGAGGACGGUACCUGACUAAGAAGCCCCGGCUAACUACGUGCCAGCAGCCGCGGUCAUACGUAGGGGGCAAGCGUUAUCCGGAUUUACUGGGUGGAAAGGGGGCGCAGACGGCAGCGCAAGCCAGGAGUGAAAGCCCGGGGCCCA
Molecule: ribosomal RNA, 261 nt
Filed under: uncultured bacterium
Lineage: Bacteria
Description: partial 16S ribosomal RNA
Rfam family: Bacterial small subunit ribosomal RNA
Source: RNAcentral